AGAGUUUGAUCCUGGCUCAGAGCGAACGCUGGCGGCAGGCUUAACACAUGCAAGUCGAACGGGCGUAGCAAUACGUCAGUGGCAGACGGGUGAGUAACGCGUGGGAACGUACCUUUUGGUUCGGAACAACACAGGGAAACUUGUGCUAAUACCGGAUAAGCCCUUACGGGGAAAGAUUUAUCGCCGAAAGAUCGGCCCGCGUCUGAUUAGCUAGUUGGUGAGGUAACGGCUCACCAAGGCGACGAUCAGUAGCUGGUCUGAGAGGAUGAUCAGCCACAUUGGGACUGAGACACGGCCCAAACUCCUACGGGAGGCAGCAGUGGGGAAUAUUGCGCAAUGGGGGAAACCCUGACGCAGCGACGUCGUGUGAGGGAAGAAGG
This 380-nucleotide ribosomal RNA is filed under the name uncultured bacterium. Its description in RNAcentral is "bacterial SSU rRNA". It matches the Rfam family "Bacterial small subunit ribosomal RNA", at positions 8 to 414 of the family's 1533-position model. The record is from RNAcentral.